Molecule: ribosomal RNA, 277 nt
Filed under: uncultured bacterium
Lineage: Bacteria
Description: partial 16S ribosomal RNA
Rfam family: Bacterial small subunit ribosomal RNA
Source: RNAcentral
CUAAGUUUGAUGGCGACCGGCGCACGGGUGAGUAACACGUAUCCAACCUGCCGAUGACUCGGGGAUAGCCUUUCGAAAGAAAGAUUAAUACCCGAUGGCAUAGUUCUUCCGCAUGGUAGAACUAUUAAAGAAUUUCGGUCAUCGAUGGGGAUGCGUUCCAUUAGGUUGUUGGCGGGGUAACGGCCCACCAAGCCUUCGAUGGAUAGGGGUUCUGAGAGGAAGGUCCCCCCACCAUUGGAACUGAGACACGGUCCAAACUCCUACGGGAGGCAGCAUG